UGGGGAAUAUUGCACAAUGGGCGCAAGCCUGAUGCAGCCAUGCCGCGUGUAUGAAGAAGGCCUUCGGGUUGUAAAGUACUUUCAGCGAGGAGGAAGGCGGUAAGGUUAAUAACCUUAUCGAUUGACGUUACUCGCAGAAGAAGCACCGGCUAACUCCGUGCCAGCAGCCGCGGUAAUACGGAGGGUGCAAGCGUUAAUCGGAAAUACUGGGCGUAAAGCGCACGCAGGCGGUCUGUCACGUCGGAUGUGAAAUCCCCGGGCUCAACCUGGGAACUGCAUUCGAAACUGGCAGGCUAGAGUCUUGUAGAGGGGGGUAGAAUUCCAGGUGUAGCGGUGAAAUGCGUAGAGAUCUGGAGGAAUACCGGUGGCGAAGGCGGCCCCCUGGACAAAGACUGACGCUCAGGUGCGAAAGCGUGGGGAGCAAACA
Molecule: ribosomal RNA, 427 nt
Filed under: uncultured bacterium
Lineage: Bacteria
Description: partial 16S ribosomal RNA
Rfam family: Bacterial small subunit ribosomal RNA
Source: RNAcentral